Molecule: transfer RNA, 152 nt
Filed under: Ceratocystis platani
Lineage: Eukaryota; Fungi; Ascomycota; Sordariomycetes; Microascales; Ceratocystidaceae
Rfam family: tRNA
About the family: Transfer RNA (tRNA) molecules are approximately 80 nucleotides in length. Their secondary structure includes four short double-helical elements and three loops (D, anti-codon, and T loops). Further hydrogen bonds mediate the characteristic L-shaped molecular structure. tRNAs have two regions of fundamental functional importance: the anti-codon, which is responsible for specific mRNA codon recognition, and the 3' end, to which the tRNAs corresponding amino acid is attached (by aminoacyl-tRNA synthetases). tRNAs cope with the degeneracy of the genetic code in two manners: having more than one tRNA (with a specific anti-codon) for a particular amino acid; and 'wobble' base-pairing, i.e. permitting non-standard base-pairing at the 3rd anti-codon position.
Source: Rfam by way of RNAcentral
GGACGGUUGGCGCAAUGGUAGCGCGCAGCUCUCCUAACUCUUUCACAGUCGUCUUUGAUUGGCUGCAUGGACAUGUGCCAUCAGCCAAUCGGAGAAGGCCUACACCUAGGGUAGUAAAGCUGAGGCUGUGGGUUCGAGUCCCACAUCGUUCG